UUGGACCAAGAUCGAGUCUUUAUCAAGUGAAUAAAUAAAGUGAAAUGCAACGCAUUGUAUGAAUCCAGUAGUAAUUAUCAUAAUUCGGAUUCACCAAUUAGUGUAAAUUCUUUCUGUGGUGUUUGGUUUUUUCAUAUAAAUUUUCUUGCUGUUGUUUUGAUAUGACGUUUCAACUCAAUCCACGCAAAUCAUUUCAUUACCCUUCUUUCAGUGUA
This 215-nucleotide long non-coding RNA is filed under the name Nicotiana benthamiana. RNAcentral describes it as "long non-coding RNA (NBEN_LNC000488)". The record is from RNAcentral. Lineage: Eukaryota; Viridiplantae; Streptophyta; Magnoliopsida; Solanales; Solanaceae.